AGCAGGGAAGAAGCGAAAGUGACGGUACCUGCAGAAAAAGCGCCGGCUAACUACGUGCCAGCAGCCGCGGUAAUACGUAGGGCGCAAGCGUUAUCCGGAAUUAUUGGGCGUAAAGAGCUCGUAGGCGGUUUGUCGCGUCUGCUGUGAAAUCCCGAGGCUCAACCUCGGGCCUGCAGUGGGUACGGGCAGACUAGAGUGCGGUAGGGGAGAUUGGAAUUCCUGGUGUAGCGGUGGAAUGCGCAGAUAUCAGGAGGAACACCGAUGGCGAAGGCAGAUCUCUGGGCCGUAACUGACGCUGAGGAGCGAAAGGGUGGGGAGCAAACAGGCUUAGAUACCCUGGUAGUCCACCCCGUAAACGUUGGGAACUAGUUGUGGGGUCCAUUCCACGGAUUCCGUGACGCAGCUAACGCAUUAAGUUCCCCGCCUGGGGAGUACGGCCGCAAGGCUAAAACUCAAAGGAAUUGACGGGGACCCGCACAAGCGGCGGAGCAUGCGGAUUAAUUCGAUGCAACGCGAAGAACCUUACCAAGGCUUGACAUAUACGAGAACGGGCCAGAAAUGGUCAACUCUUUGGACACUCGUAAACAGGUGGUGCAUGGUUGUCGUCAGCUCGUGUCGUGAGAUGUUGGGUUAAGUCCCGCAACGAGCGCAACCCUCGUUCUAUGUUGCCAGCACGUAAUGGUGGGAACUCAUGGGAUACUGCCGGGGUCAACUCGGAGGAAGGUGGGGAUGACGUCAAA
Molecule: ribosomal RNA, 740 nt
Filed under: Microbacterium aerolatum
Lineage: Bacteria; Bacillati; Actinomycetota; Actinomycetes; Micrococcales; Microbacteriaceae
Description: bacterial SSU rRNA
Rfam family: Bacterial small subunit ribosomal RNA
Source: RNAcentral